CCCUUAGAUGUUCUGGGCCGCACGCGCGCUACACUGACGAAUGCAACGAUCUUAUAACCUUGGCCGAAAGGUCUGGGUAAUCUCCAAAUUUCGUCGUGAUGGGGAUAGAUUAUUGCAAUUAUUAAUCUUCAACGAGGAAUGCCUAGUAAGCGCAAGUCAUCAGCUUGCGUUGAUUACGUCCCUGCCCUUUGUACACACCGCCCGUCGCUCCUACCGAUUGAAUGGUCCGGUGAAGCGUUCGGACCGUGGCCUUUGGACGGUUCGCCGUCUGUUGGCUGCGGGAAGUUCGUUAAACCUUAUCAUUUAGAGGAAGGAGAAGUCGUAACA
Molecule: ribosomal RNA, 327 nt
Filed under: uncultured eukaryote
Lineage: Eukaryota
Description: partial 18S ribosomal RNA
Rfam family: Eukaryotic small subunit ribosomal RNA
Source: RNAcentral